AUGCAAAAGCCUUGCCUCCCGGUUGUAACAACACAAUCACACCACAAAACCACACUGGAGCCACAAAACUCACAACAACGCAUCAUGACUAUAACAACACAAAACCACAAUCUGGACCCACAAAACUCACAACAACGCAUUGUGACUAUAACAAAUACAAAAUUUGACAACACAACUCAUCCACCUCCCCAAUCCCUACAUUCACACUUGGCCUCCAAAAAAACAAUUACAAUAAUAACAAUGACAACAACAACAACAAUAAGAAUCAACACCAUCACAGGCAAGAAACAGCCAGGCACUGAGGCUGAGAGGCCAGUCAGUGCUACACUGGGCCUCCAAAAAACAAUACAGUAGCAUCUAACUUAUCCAACCUUCAUGACCACUACAACAACAAUAAUAAUAAACAGCUACACAGGCAAAACAAAAAAAAGACUAUUGUACCACAAUAAAAAUAUAAACCGCACUCAGCAGAAUCAGACAUUACAACUAACAACAAACCAAAGACAACAGGGAUCUCAAGCAAUUAUCAAUCAACACAAAAACUGAAGAAGGUAACAGACUUCAAAUACUACUACUAAUGUGAGUAUAAAGAAGGGUGGAGGUCACAGCAUAAAUACAACCUAAUGUAGACUGACCAACACCACCAGACUAAGCCACAGCACAGUGUGUGUGUGUGUGUGUGUGUGUGUGUGUGUGUGUGUGUGUAUAUAUAUAUAUAUAUAUAUGAUGUGUUGUUAAUUAGUACCCUCUAAAUCUACUGCUCACCAGUCUCUUGUGCUUGUAUAUUCUAUUUACAUUCUAUCUAAUCAUCAAGGUCAAAUACGAAUGGGUAAAAGAGCCCUGAAUUUUUGAACAAGCUAUAGAAACGAGAAAGAAACUCACACUAAAGAUUUUUGUUAUUUUUGAAAGGAACUCACUUAAUCAAAACUACUAUUUCAAAGUACCAAUCAACAUAAGUGUAAAAAUUAGAAUUGACUGAUGGAAUAGUUUGUUUCUCAAAAAAAACUCUGAUUCAAAUCAUUAUCGUUAUUACUUGAAUAGAAGGGGCUCUUCUGUUUCAUGAAAGAUGAUUCAAUUCUCAAGUUGUUUUUUUUCUACUGUCUUUUAAAACUAACGGUUUUACAAGAGUUAUUUGGCAGGAUUCCCACUACACUUCAGAGGAUGUGUCGAUUAACUAAUUAGCAGGGUAUUGUGAUAUGAGCUGUCUCUGGCUGCCGAGUUAGAUUUAGCUGAAGAUGGCUAAUCAAAUCCACUUACAAAUUGCCUAAGCAGCACAAUGUAGAACAAGGAAGGCAUAUGGACUCAGAUAUAAUCAAAAGAGUUUCAUUUGCCUAUUGUUGUUGUUAUUAUUAUCAUCAUCAUCUUCAUCAAGAUUCAUCUGUCUUUCCUACUGACUAUUCUGAAAUGAUUAACUGACACAGUUUAUUAAAGUCAUGAGCCAGAAGUGAUGGGCACAGCAAAAUCACAAGGAAUCUAUUUUUCUCUGUUUCUCACAAAAACCAGUAACAAUUUAUUUUUCAGUGAAGAGAUAGACAAGAUACUGACAUGGUAUCAUUUCCACUGCUUUCUUCUGUGGCUACCACCUACAUAAAAGGGAAAUAAACUUUUUCUGACUCUGAGGCUAAUAGCCUCCAAGUGAUUCAUUCUAUCUGAGUUACACCAAAGUCAUUACACUUUUAAAAUCAAUAACCGAAAGAUUUACAAGAAGAGAUGAAAAGAUCUAUUUACAUUAUAGAAAAUAUCUACUGAUGGUCAGGGUUUUUAAAAUUACCUUCAUAAAGUCAAUCCAAGGUGCUCAUGAUCCUUGAAAUGUUUUCGAUUGAUUUCUGCUCUCUCUCAGAUAUCCCUAGUCAAGCAAUUUCACCACUUGCACAAGCCUCAAUUUUUAAAUUGCUGGUUUCUCCUACACCUCCCACCCUGACUGCUACUGGCUUACCACUAGUAUUUUUCCAGCAGUUACAAGUUCUACAUCAUUCCUUUUUUCAGCAAUCCCACCCAAAUAACCAACUGAUAUGGUAAAUGGGUUGAAAUGUAAGGUACAAUUAAUGAUCAGACUAAGUGAAUAGAAGAUCCUGCCCCUUCCAUGAUAUUACAUUUUUGUUGAUUAGACCAAAGCCAUUUUCUCCUAAAGGUUCAGCCAGCUAUUAGAACCAAUGCAGUGAUUACUGCAUAGUAAUACGCAAGCAGUAGCUAUUCCACAGAAAACUAUAACAGUACAGGUUCCUCAUAAUGGUAGUUAUAUAUGAGUAUUUAACAGACAAUAAGAUAUUAGCACCAUAUUUUAUUCCCAACGUCACACAAAGAUUCUAUGGCCAACAAAAAACUGAGUUGAGAUUGUAUGUCCUCAAAUAUUUCUUAGAAUCAUAGAAUCAUAGAAUAGUAGAGUUGGAAGAGACCUCAUGGGCCAUCCAGUCCAACCCCCUGCCAAGAAGCAGGAAACCACAUUCAUAGCACCCCCGACAGAUGGCCAUCCAGCCUCUGUUUAAAAGCCUCCAAAGAAGGAGCCUCCACCACAGUCCGGGGGAGAGAGUUCCACUGCCGAAGAGCUCUCACUGUGAGGAAGUUCUUCCUGAUGUUCAGGUGGAAUCUCCUUUCCUGUAGUUUGAAGCCAUUGUUCCGUGUCCUAGUCUGCAGGGCAGCAGAAAACAAGCUUGUUCCCUCCUCCCUAUGACUUCCCCUCACAUAUUUGUACAUGGCUAUCAUGUCUCCUCUCAGCCUUCUCUUCUUAAUUACUUCAUCAUAUUGAAACUCACUAGACUGAUGAAACUUCUACUAGUUUUUAGUGUUCCAUCAAGAACCUGCUGAUUGCUAAGAUUGCUAAGAUCCUUUAAAAGAAAUCUACUAUAAGAAGAGAUUGGAAUGAUCCAGAAGAGGAUCAUUUAAUAGAUGCCCCCCCUGCCAUCUCCCUCCCAAAAUAUGGGAGAUUUUAACAGGUACACUGUUGUCAUGAAACCAACAAAGUCUUGGCUACCCUAAAAGCUAACAUUUAUUAUUGCAUAAGCUUUUGUGUUUAUUUUCAAGGUGGCACCACAUUGUUUUCAAUAUACAUUGGUUAUGCCUUGAUUGGGAAAAGAUUCUGAAUAAGCAUCCUUGCUUUGUUACAAUAUGUAUCAAUGGAUCUUAAGGAAUAUGUUGGUUACCCAGUGUUAUGCUAUCCAUGUUAAACUCCUUCAUCCAUGUCAUUUGUUUCUGCAUCCAUCCAACUAUUCAUUGCAAGAUACAUGUAUCUUUCGUUGCAAAUAAUUCUUUUUCCCAUUGACAUAUGCUCCAAUAUUUCACUGAUGAGAAUCAGGACACAUUCACAUGUGUUCUGACAGGAAGUUUAGAUUAUGGUUAAAAUGGCAAAAGUUAUUACUAUAGAAGAACACAGAAACUAAAGGUGAGUCUACUUAGGCAUAAAACCCAGACUCACCCUUAAUUGACUUCUUCUGUAGAUUAUGCUGUGUUAAACCAGC
Molecule: long non-coding RNA, 3455 nt
Organism: Anolis carolinensis (green anole)
Lineage: Eukaryota; Metazoa; Chordata; Lepidosauria; Squamata; Anolidae
Source: Ensembl